Molecule: ribosomal RNA, 264 nt
Filed under: uncultured bacterium
Lineage: Bacteria
Description: partial 16S ribosomal RNA
Rfam family: Bacterial small subunit ribosomal RNA
Source: RNAcentral
CUAUCCUACGGGACGCAGCAGUGGGGAAUAUUGCACAAUGGGGGAAACCCUGAUGCAGCAACGCCGCGUGAGUGAGGAGGUCAUUCGUGAUGUAAAGCUCUAUCAGCAGGGAAGAAAAUGACGGUACCUGAGUAAGAAGCCCCGGCUAACUACGUGCCAGCAGCCGCGGUAAUACGUAGGGGGCAAGCGUUAUCCGGAUUUACUGGGUGUAAAGGGAGCGUAGACGGCCAGACAAGUCUGAAGUGAAAAUCCAGCGCUUAACGU